This 133-nucleotide small RNA is filed under the name Marmota monax (woodchuck). The stretch from base 1 to 69 matches the Rfam family "U4 spliceosomal RNA". From Rfam's summary of the family: U4 small nuclear RNA (U4 snRNA) is a component of the major U2-dependent spliceosome. The structure of U4 snRNA from yeast and human has been reported. Lineage: Eukaryota; Metazoa; Chordata; Mammalia; Rodentia; Sciuridae. The record is from RNAcentral.
AGCUUUGCGCAGUGGCAGUAUCGUAGCCAAUGAGGUUUAUCCGAGGCGCGAUUAUUGCUAAUUGAAAGAAUGGGAGACAGUGUACAAUGGACUCGGAAAACUCACUGUUGUUUCGGGGCCACACCUGCAGCUG